Danio rerio (zebrafish) is the source of this 115-nucleotide non-coding RNA. The record is from Rfam. Lineage: Eukaryota; Metazoa; Chordata; Actinopteri; Cypriniformes; Danionidae.
GCCGGCAGCUAGCUAUCUGCAACUCUCACAUGGUCGCCCACUGAAGCUAAGCAGGGCUGCGCCUGGUCAGUACCUGGAUGGGAGACCACAUGGGAAAGCUAGGUUGCUGCCGGAA